CAAUAGCGUAUACUAACGUUGUUGCAGUUAAAAGCUCGUAGUUGGAUUUCUGUGUUGGUGAGGCGGCCGGCCAUUCGUGGUUGUAGCUAGUUAUCACCGGCGCAUCUUGUCACAAGCCACGCUGGCCUUAACUGGUUGGCGUUGGGGACUGACUCGUUUACUUUGAGAAAAUUAGAGUGUUCAAAGCAGGCUAUCGCCUUGAAUAUGUUAGCAUGGAAUAAUGAUAUAGGACUUUGGUUCUAUUUUGUUGGUUUUGUUGGACCGGAGUAAUGAUUGAUAGGGACGGUUGGGGUGAUUCAUAUUGCAAAGCGAGAGGUGGAAUUCUUGGACCUUUGUAGGAUGAACAACUGCGAAAGCAUUUCACUAGGACGUUCCCGUUGAUCAAGAACGAAAGUUGGGUCAUCGAAGACGAUUAGAUACCGU
This 423-nucleotide ribosomal RNA is filed under the name uncultured eukaryote. RNAcentral's name for it is "bacterial SSU rRNA". It matches the Rfam family "Eukaryotic small subunit ribosomal RNA", at positions 592 to 1018 of the family's 1831-position model. The record is from RNAcentral.